RNAcentral lists this small RNA (125 nucleotides) under Marmota monax (woodchuck). Lineage: Eukaryota; Metazoa; Chordata; Mammalia; Rodentia; Sciuridae. The record is from RNAcentral.
GCUGGGUAUGGUGGCAUAUGCCUGUAAUCCCAGAGGCUCAGGAGGCUGAGGCAGGAGGAUCUCAAGUUCAAUGCCAGCCUCAGCAAUGGUGAGGUGCUAAGCAAUUCAGUGAGACCCUGUCUCUA